UAGAUUUGGCGGUGGCUUCGCAGGCCCCGAUGGCCAGCCAAAUCAGUUCUUACUUCAUACUUCCGAUUUGUUUAGCAUUGAGAGGCUGUGUGCAAAAAGGGUGCUGGACUUACUUCAUACUUCAUACUUCCGAUUUGGCAGACAAAUAGACUGUAUGGAUCCGUUAAUUCUUGCGUCUCUUUUUAUGAUCUAAAUGUGGAGAUUUGAGUAAGAUUAUGACUUAUAUGAAAUGUACUACAAGAUAUAUUGCCAGUGUCAAUUCUGAAAUUUAGUUUUUGUUGGGUUUUCCUCAUUAACCAGUCACAAAAAGGUGAUGGACUAUACUGUAGAAGCUGACAGAGUUAUCAUGACAACAUAUACAAAUUUAGUACAAAUAUUCUUCUCAUUUGUCUAGUGACUACAAUAUUUUAAUUAUCUCACAAAUGGUAAAAUAUUUACGGUGCCUUUUUAUGCAGGGAACCGUAACCCAGCAAGACUGAAGACUAUAGGUGAGUUGCCUGACCCAUCUAUCCCAUCGGUUCUUAUUUCGUCUGCUCUUGUUAUGCAUCUUGUUAUGAUGCAGAAUUAGUCAUGUCUUUUCGCUACCUAUUCAAACUUUGUAUGGAACUUCGCUGUACUUGAUUUCGUGCGGAUCAACUUGUUUUAGAGGAGUUGGUCAGAAAGAAAUUCUCCAAGUUAGAUUUGUUAUAUUUUCCUUUAUAUAAAAUUGCAUGACUUCAAGUUGCUGUUGCUUCGUCAGGAUCAGCUUUGUGGAGCAAGUUUAUAUAUUCUCCAAGUUGCUGUUGCUUCGUCAGGAUGAGCUUAGGAGUUUCACAGUGAAACCAAGUUGAUUCAUGGUGCAAGUUGCUGUUGCUUUGUGGAGCAAGUUGCUGUUGCUUUGUGGAAGUAUACAUCUUAUCCUGUAGUUUAAUAAUUAUCCGAAAGAGUGUAAGUUGCAGAGAUAUGUUUAAUCUGAAGAGAGAUUCGGAGUAUUUUUAUCUGAGAAAUACUAUUUUGUUGCAGUAUAUUUUUAUCUAAGAAAGUAUAUGUUUUUCUGAAGAAAGAUUUAGAAUAUGGACAGUAUUUUUAUCUUAGAAAGUAU
RNAcentral lists this long non-coding RNA (1081 nucleotides) under Hordeum vulgare. RNAcentral describes it as "long non-coding RNA (HVUL_LNC000853)". The record is from RNAcentral. Lineage: Eukaryota; Viridiplantae; Streptophyta; Magnoliopsida; Poales; Poaceae.